RNA transcript from Callithrix jacchus (white-tufted-ear marmoset), 2660 nucleotides. It is a transcript of the gene named developmental pluripotency-associated protein 4 pseudogene, with no coding region annotated. NCBI's taxonomy places the organism in Eukaryota, Metazoa, Chordata, Mammalia, Primates, Cebidae. The record is from RefSeq and is a predicted model, not a curated record.
AUGAAGGCCCUAGAUGACAAACCCACAGCCAAUAUCAUACUGAAUGAGGAAGAGGUGAAGGCUUUUCCUGUGAGAUCUGGGCCAAGACAAGGACGCCCACUUUCAACACUUUUUAUUCAACAUAGUACUGGAAGUCCCAGCCAGUACUUAGAAUCUUGGGCCAGAGGCCAUUUUGGAAGCAUCUUGCCAAGCUCUGCUUCUUCUCUGAGUUUGGAGAAGGCAAAAGACAAGGAGUAGACCUCCACAGAGAAGUUGAGGGAAGAGGAUCAGCAGGCUUCUAAUCAACAAAACACAAUUGCUUUGUCAGGAACAUCAGCAAAGGGAACCAAUGGAAAAAUAUCUGUGAAGGGUGACAAAAUGCUCUGCCCUAAGAAGAAGGCAGAGUACAGUGACAUCCCCAGACCUCAGAAGAUACCAAUCCCUCCAUUACCCUCUAAACUGCCACCUGUUAAUCUGAUUCACCGGGACGUUCUGUGGCCUGGUAUCUGUGUGCCUUUGCCUACACAAAUCAAAAGGAUUUUCCUAGUACAGCAAAAAAGGCCAAAAUCCAGAAAUCAUUGCAAAAAAAAUUAACGGUGGAAAAAGGGGAAAUAUCCCUGCAAAGUUCUGAGACACAUCCUCCUGAAGUGGGACUUCUUUCUCCCUGAGGAGGGGCUGCCUGCCCUGGAAAAGUCCACUGCUCUCCUUGAGGGAGCUAAUAUAGUUGUGGUGUCAACUUCUGGCUCAGAGGCUUUGCUGGCCUCCUGGGUGAGAAUUUCAGCAAGGGCAAGGAUGCCAGAGACAGUGGAAUCUCCACAAGAGGCCUGUGGUGUCAGGUGGUGGUGUGUGGUCCAGGGGAAACGUCUCCCUGCAGACACAGAUGUUUGGGUUCACCUGCAGUUUCAUGCUGGUCAGGCCUGGGUCCCAGAGAAGCAAGAAGGGAGAGUGAGUGCCUCCAAUUUUCCACCUCCACACCUUGAAGACAGUAUGUUGUGCCCCAAAUGUGUUCACAGGAAUAAGGUCUUAAUAAAAAGCCUCCAAUGGGAAUAGAAUAUCAGGGAAAAGGCCACAUCCAUGGGAAUUAAUGGCAGAAAGACUGGAGAGUCGGAUUUCGUGGUGUUGCUGACAGGUGAACUCUGGUCCCCUUCACACCUAUUUAUGGGCCAUGUAGACUGAUGGGGUGGUAGAUGUUAGCCUAAGACCCCUAGUAGUGCCUGUUGCUUUGUGAGUGGAGACAGAUAUAGACUCUUACAUUUAAAAAUGGGGAAAACAUUUCACAAAUUAUGAUAAAUUGUAAUUAAUAUGUAGAAAAACUCAUUUAUACUACCUUUCUAAAACAGAAAUGACGUCAGCAGCUUUUUUGUUUGUUUGAGACAGUGUCUUGCUCUGUUGCCCAGGCUGGAGUGCAAUGGUGUGAUCUCAGUUCAGUGCAGUCUCUGCCUCCUGGGUUCAAGUGAUUCUGCUGUCUGAGACUCCUGAGUAUCUGGGAUUACAGGCACCACCACCAUACUCAGCCAAUUUUUUUUGUAUUUUUUAUUAGAGAGGGGGUUUCACUAUGUUAACCAGGCUGGUCUCAAACUCCUGGCCUCGAGUGAACCACCCACCUCAGCCUCUCAAAAUGCUUGGAUUACAGGCAUGAGCCAUGGAGCCUGGCCUUCAGCAGCUCUUUUAAGUGUGAACUUCUUCAGCUGAGCAUUGUGAAGGAGUUGAGGAAAACAAUAGUUUGCUCCUAUGCUCAAUUUUUCCCUCCUCUGAACACUGACUAGGAGCUGCAUCAUUCCAAUUCAAUUUCAUAAAAUGUAUUUUAAGGCAAAGGAAGGCUAUUAAUUUUCUCCCUCCCCCAAACACGAUUUUUAAUAUUCAAAACAAUAUUUUUCAAAGUUCUCUUAGUAACCUGAGAUUUCUAUGGUUUGACUCCAGGAUCAAUACACAAGGCACUUUGUAUUAUUUCACUUCGAAUUGUUUUCAAUAUUUCUGGUGUUUAAAAUGUUUGAAGUUGCUUCCCACUCAUAAAUACAUGAUAUAUUGAACUUAAAAUCUGUCUAUUAACCAGUUCUCCAUAAAUAAAAAUAAGAUGUAUAUAUAAAAUAAUUCAUCUGUUGUAUUUAGGGAACCGUAUUCAUUGCAUGCAAAUUAUUGUUAGUGUUCGUAACUCAAAGUAGGAGUAAACCAAAAUGUAUGAUUUUUCUUUUGCAUGACUCAUUUGUUUGUUGUUUUCUUUAUUAGUUGGUGGUAUGGGUUGGAUCAUUUGUUGUGAAAACUACUUAGGUAUGACUGACAUACAAAAAGCUGUACAUAUUUCAUGUAUUCUAUUGAGUAUAAUAAAUUUUUAAUUUUUUUUGUGUACUUCCUACAUUUAUAGUCCUGAAAGUCUGUGAACAGGUCUUUUUUUCACUUGUCCUAUUUUAAUGACUGUUUCCAACAUUGUUUCAUUAUUACAGCUAGGGGAUCUUUUUUCUUUUGCCCCUUUAAUGAAGAUACUAAAAAUAAUGCACUGGAAGGAGUGGCAGAGUUGGAAAAUUUGUAACUGUCAUAAUACAGGUGUGAUACGUCUGGGAAAGAAUUCUCAAAAAUGUGAGAGAAACGUUUGUUGAAAAGCAAGAUGUUCUUCUCUCCUGCCCCCCAAUUGGUUGUUGGUGGUCAGAAUUGUUCAGUGUAAUAAAUAUAGACAUUUUUUCUUA